CAGUAGCCGCGGGAAUACGAAGGGUGCAAGCGUUAAUCGGAAUUACUGGGCGUAAAGCGCGCGUAGGUGGUUUGGUAAGAUGGAUGUGAAAUCCCCGGGCUCAACCUGGGAACUGCAUCCAUAACUGCCUGACUAGAGUACGGUAGAGGGUGGUGGAAUUUCCUGUGUAGCGGUGAAAUGCGUAGAUAUAGGAAGGAACACCAGUGGCGAAGGCGACCACCUGGACUGAUACUGACACUGAGGUGCGAAAGCGUGGGGAGCAAACAGGAUUAGAUACCCCCGUAGUCCCUGUACUUAUACA
Molecule: ribosomal RNA, 301 nt
Filed under: uncultured bacterium
Lineage: Bacteria
Description: partial 16S ribosomal RNA
Rfam family: Bacterial small subunit ribosomal RNA
Source: RNAcentral